RNA transcript from Amborella trichopoda, 2608 nucleotides. RefSeq lists it as uncharacterized. The record is from RefSeq and is a predicted model, not a curated record. NCBI's taxonomy places the organism in Eukaryota, Viridiplantae, Streptophyta, Magnoliopsida, Amborellales, Amborellaceae.
UUAAACGCCGAUUUGUUGUAAAGUAGGGUUUUAUCCUUCAAGCUCAGCCUGGCUCUCACGCCGCAGUUCUGUAUACUUUUUUUUGGCGAGCUCCAAUAUUCAGGCGAGUUCUGCAACAUUUUCCGGCAAUGGACUUGGAGUCUCACAAGAAUACCCAGGUUCUAAUCCUCGACUUUGGCUCGCAAUACACUCACCUCAUAACGAGAAGGAUUCGAAAGCUUUCAGUUUUCUCUCUCUGUAUCUCUGGUACUUCGUCUCUUGAAGCAAUAGCUGAGCACAAUUCAAGGGUCAUAAUUCUCUCGGGUGGUCCUCACUCGGUUCACUUGGAUGGGGCGCCAUGGCUCCCUCGAGGCUUUUUUGAAUAUGUCGAAGAAAAUGGGGUUUUUGUUUUGGGGAUUUGCUACGGCCUGCAACUGAUCGUUGAGAUGCUCGGUGGUGAGGUGAAGGCAGCAAAGAGCAGUGAAUAUGGGAGAAUGAACAUAGGUACAUAUGAGGGUUCUGUGCUCUUUGAUAAAGCUAUGGAGCAACAGGUUUGGAUGAGUCAUGGUGAUGAAGUUAUUAGGUUACCAGAAGGUUUUUCAGUUAUUGGAAGGAGUAAGAGGAAUUCAAUUGAUUCUUUGAAGAAAAAUGAAAUGGGUACAUUGAAUCAAAAUGGAGUGGAUUGUUUGCACGAAAACACCAUUGCUGCUAUUGAGAAUCCUUCUAAGAGGAUAUUUGGGCUCCAGUAUCAUCCUGAGGUAACACAUUCUCCAAAAGGAAUGGAAACACUGCAAUACUUUCUUUUCGAGGUCUGUAAAGUCACUGCCGAUUGGGAGUUGAAAGAUGUGCUUAUAGAUGAAAUUAAAACAGUAAAUAAUGAAGUGGGACCUGAGGAUCAUGUCAUAUGUGCUUUAUCUGGAGGUGUGGAUUCGACUGUCGCUGCUACUAUUGUACAUGAGGCGAUAGGAGACAGGCUACACUGUGUCUUUGUCGACAAUGGUCUCUUGAGGUUUCAGGAGAAAGAGCAUGUGAUGUCUACGUUUCAGGCGGACUUGCAUCUGUCUGUCACUUGUGUUGAUGCAACCGAUCGGUUUCUCAGCAAGCUCAAGGGUGUGGUAGAACCUGAAAUGAAAAGGAAAAUUAUUGGAAAGGAGUUUAUCUCAAUCUUUGAUGACUUUGCACAUGAAUUGGAACAAAAACUUGGAAGGAAACCCACUUUUUUGGUACAAGGAACUCUAUACCCAGAUGUCAUUGAAUCAUGUCCACCACCUGGAAGCGGAAGAACCCAUUCCCACACCAUAAAGAGCCAUCAUAAUGUUGGGGGCCUCCCAAAGGAUAUGAAGUUGAAGCUUAUAGAGCCUCUUAAGUUGCUAUUUAAAGAUGAGGUAAGGGAGUUGGGGGGCAUCUUGCAUGUUCCACAAGGUUUUCUGAAGCGUCACCCAUUUCCUGGUCCUGGCCUUGCUGUACGAGUUAUUGGUGAUGUUACAGAAGGGAAUGUCUUGGAUACAUUGCGCCAGGUUGAUCACAUAUUUGUUGAGGCCAUCAAGCAAGCUGGGAUCUACGAUUCCAUCUGGCAAGCCUUUGCCGUGUUUCCAAAUAUUAGGACAGUCGGUGUUCAGGGUGAUCAAAGAACUCAUUCUCAUGUAGUUGCUCUUAGAGCUAUAACAAGUGAGGAUGGAAUGACUGCAGACUGAGCAUUAUGGGAUUGCGGAUUGCGGAUUGCGGAUUGCGGCCGGAUUGUGAUCCUGUUUCAGGAGCGCAAGGUCGCAUUCCCAGAGCGGGAUCGCUGCCAUGUUUGGAGUUCCUGGUACAAUUUUGAUCCCAAGUUCCUUCAGUAUGUGUCUUCAAAGAUAUGCAAUGAGGUCCAAGGUGUUAAUAGAGUUGUGUAUGACAUAACCUCAAAACCUCCAUCAACAGUCGAAUGGGAAUGAUAGGACGAGUCAAACAUCCAAAAAAAGGCCUCCAAAGAGCGAAAGAGGGGAAGAAAGAUCAUUUGGUCAUCUCAUUCUCUUUAUGGAACACUAGAAAAAUGGAAAGAUCAUUUGGUCAUCUCAUUCUCUUUAUGGAACACAAGAAAAAUGGGUAGUUUGCCAAUGGCAUAUGAUGUCUUCAGUUUUUCCAUGGGUAAAAGUCUUCUGGAAAACUGCACGGCAAGAUAAAAAUAUCGACUUUUAGAUGUUAGAAGACCAACAGAUAGGUUUGGUGGAAUUAGAGAGAUCUGGCGAGAUCUUGCUUGAUGUCAGAGGUAUGAUUUUUUAUUUGCAGAGGUACGCAUAAAUAUUUUUGAUUAAUGGUAGUUUUCGUAGGUUGUUAAUUAUUGAGUUUGGUGUUGUCUCUGCCUUUGCCUCCUAUAUGACAUCACCAGACAAAUUCACGAGAAUUGCCAUUGAUUUCAGAAAAGAAUACCAGACAAAUUCACGAGAAUUGCCAUUGGUUUCAGAAAGUAAUACCAGAGUGCUUCUAGUUUAAAAUAUUUCUUGAUUGAAUUUUAUGGUUUCUAUUGUGUUUUCAUUCGACGAUAAGUAAAGAGCCUAGAUAUUAAGAAACAAGUGAUUGCAAGAACAUGUGGGCCUGGGCCACUUAUGAUGAGUUAUGUUUGAAGCUUGCAAAUGCCUUAUUUUGAGCAGUU